Molecule: ribosomal RNA, 247 nt
Filed under: uncultured bacterium
Lineage: Bacteria
Description: partial 16S ribosomal RNA
Rfam family: Bacterial small subunit ribosomal RNA
Source: RNAcentral
GAUCUGGCUCAGGAUGAACGCUAGCUACAGGCUUAACACAUGCAAGUCGAGGGGCAGCGGGAUUGAAGCUUGCUUCAAUUGCCGGCGACCGGCGCACGGGUGAGUAACGCGUAUCCAACCCUCCGUACACUCAGGGAUAGCCUUUCGAAAGAAAGAUUAAUACCUGAUGGUAUCUUAAGCACACAUGUAAUUAAGAUUAAAGAGUUUAUCGGUGUACGAUGGGGGUGCGUUCCAUUAGGUAGUAGGG